GGGGGUGUUUUGGGUUCGACUGAGGGCCGUAGUGUAUGAUGGCAUGUCGGAGAUGAUGGUUGGCUCCGUAAAAAUCCAUUAAAAAAAUUAAACGGCAAAAAUAAUAAAGCUGUUGCUACUCUAUUCGUCGACAAUGUCGUGAGAGAUCUCGACUUCAAUGUUGAUGUCAAGAGUAUAGCCGCAUAGAUUAAUGUGGCGCAUCAAGUCGUGGGAUACUCGCUACCGCGGAUUUGGUGUCGAUUAGCGAGUGAAACUCGAAGUGGACCGGCAGGCUUCGAGUAGAUCCGAAAUUGUCGGCUAGGUUGUGGUGAUUGCGUUCAUUCAAGCAUCACAGUCGAAAUCAAAGAAUGAACUAAACAUGUAGAGGUCAUAUGUGAACGCUCACAGGACGCGGGUUCAACUCCCGCCACCUCCACCC
RNAcentral lists this transfer-messenger RNA (418 nucleotides) under Puniceicoccales bacterium. It matches the Rfam family "transfer-messenger RNA". From Rfam's summary of the family: Bacterial tmRNA, also known as 10Sa RNA or SsrA, is named for its dual tRNA and mRNA-like properties. Its role is to liberate the mRNA from a stalled ribosome. To accomplish this part of the tmRNA is used as a reading frame that ends in a translation stop signal. The record is from RNAcentral. Lineage: Bacteria; Pseudomonadati; Verrucomicrobiota; Opitutia; Puniceicoccales.